Chinchilla lanigera (long-tailed chinchilla) is the source of this 724-nucleotide long non-coding RNA. RefSeq lists it as uncharacterized. NCBI's taxonomy places the organism in Eukaryota, Metazoa, Chordata, Mammalia, Rodentia, Chinchillidae. The record is from RefSeq and is a predicted model, not a curated record. The transcript has 3 exons.
UGUGCGCUGAAAACUCUGCCUCCUGGUGUCCUUGAGUCAAGGGAUAGUUGCUGAGUGACAGUGUUUGUGGGAGGGUGUGUCUUACACUUCUGAGGGUGUGAGGAUGUUUCUAACCCAUGUACUACAGCAGCCAUCAACACAUACACAAUAUUGAUACCAAAAGCACCCUCUGCAUCUCCAUCUGAGUCUGCUUCCUGGGAAACACGAUCAGGACAGUGGAUGACAGAAAUGUUCCAAGAAAGCAAUAAGACAGGGUCUCAGAACUGUAUUACCAGCCACCCAACUAGCAUCACUGGUGGUAUGUGAAGCACCAAUAGCCUGUGGCAGAAGGUAACCUUCUAGAAGAGCACACAGCAUCUACCUUACUGAGUAACAGUUCUGUAUUUUUGGACUGAAGGAACUCAGGAGAACAGAGGGAGACUUGCAACCAUGUUUCAGCUCUGCGGUAAACCUGACACCCAUGUGGGCUUUGGUCAUUAAGUUGUGAAAGGUGAUUCAUAAUGAACCCUGCCGUUUGAGUGGCCUGGGCUCCAUGGUCAGUAGAACUUUGCUCUUCAGCAUCCUUAGGGAUUAGAAGGAAGGCACAGAAACCCAUGCCACACUGACACAGUGGAUGGAGGCUCUAUGGAGGUCACUCCCAAUCUUUCUACUUUGUAGGAAGAAUUGAAAUAAUUUUGAGAUCUCAACAAAUCCCUGCAUAAAUAUCAUCAUAUCUACUGCUAUG